This is a long non-coding RNA of Drosophila subpulchrella, 1010 nucleotides long. RefSeq lists it as uncharacterized. The record is from RefSeq and is a predicted model, not a curated record. The transcript has 3 exons. Lineage: Eukaryota; Metazoa; Arthropoda; Insecta; Diptera; Drosophilidae.
GGUAAGGUGUGAAAUGAACUCCAUCACCUGGUUGGUGGAUAUCAAGUUGCUGCCAUCUACCUCUAUCAGGCGAUACAGUUUAUCAAGGACCUAAAGAAGGAUUUAAGGAUCUUAAGGAAUUAUUUUUGACCUAUCAAUCACAUAGGCCACCGACUCAAUCUGUUCGGCGAAGUCCAUCUGGCGAUCGUCGCUGAAAGAGGCCAAGAUACGUACAUAUAAACACUUCAAAUUUAACGAUACCCAAUAUAGGUACUCCCACCGCUCUUGGUAUGGCUACACAGAAAAAGAUUACUAAGAAUACGAUAUUCUGAAAAUCAAAAGAUCAUAUGUAAAGCACUUGGCAGACGAAUGCCAAAUUAUUUUGAUUAGUGUGUACGUUCAAAGAGAAAUGUGUACAUUAACAAGGCGUGAUGAUGUUAUGCGUUGUAUGGCGAUUUAAUUGUUCUGGAUCUGGCUUUAUAAAUGUGUGAUACGAUAUGAUAUCGUUUUCAUUCUUAUUUUUUUUCUGUGCACGCAAUACCCGAACUCCCUAACCCGAACCCGCAUCCCCAGAUAUCGCUGCUGCUGCUCGCACUAUAUUUGUAUUUGAAUGACUUCAUUACGACAGGCAGCCAAUGACAGUUUCUGGCUGCAGAGCAGAGUGGAGCUCCAAUCCAGAGCCAACUUUAGAGGCAACUGUCGAGGCACGCGGACUAUGUUAGCUGUUGUAUAUGUUAACACACGGCGCAGAUAGCAUCGCCAUGGGCAACGGACAUCGUCUGGGAACGGAGCUGGCAUUGGCAUCUGGCAUCUGGGGCUUCUGGUCGGCGCAGCUGGAAUGCCUGGAGCACGCCAGCCAGGUGCGUGUGUGGAUCCGCCUAGUGGAUCGGAUCGCAUCGCAUCGGAUGGGAUGACUAUUUUCUCCAAGGCGAGCUAAUUGUUUUGGCACCGUUGCAGCAGCAACAGCAGCAGCAGCGAUCUCAGAGGAUAGGAUCCUCCACCUCCUCGAGCAACCCACACUUACGUUAGCC